This 426-nucleotide ribosomal RNA is filed under the name uncultured bacterium. RNAcentral describes it as "bacterial SSU rRNA". It matches the Rfam family "Bacterial small subunit ribosomal RNA", at positions 354 to 796 of the family's 1533-position model. The record is from RNAcentral.
GUGAGGAAUUUUCCGCAAUGGGCGAAAGCCUGACGGAGCAAUGCCGCGUGAAGGAUGAAGGCCUAUGGGUUGUAAACUUCUUUUCUCAGAAAAGAAUUAUGACGGUAUCUGAGGAAUAAGCAUCGGCUAACUCUGUGCCAGCAGCCGCGGUAAGACAGAGGAUGCAAGCGUUAUCCGGAAUGAUUGGGCGUAAAGCGUCUGUAGGUUGUUUAAAAAGUAUUCUGUCAAAGAUUAGGGCUUAACCCUAGAUAGGCAGAAUAAACUUUUAAGCUAGAGUUUUGUAGAGGCAGAGGGAAUUCCCGGUGGAGCGGUGAAAUGCGUAGAUAUCGGGAGGAACACCAAAGGCGAAGGCACUCUGCUGGGCCAAUACUAACACUGAGAGACGAAAGCGAGGGGAGCAAAUGGGAUUAGAUACCCGAGUAGUCC